This 226-nucleotide long non-coding RNA is filed under the name Homo sapiens (human). Its description in RNAcentral is "HSALNT0020735". The record is from RNAcentral. Lineage: Eukaryota; Metazoa; Chordata; Mammalia; Primates; Hominidae.
UUUUAAUUCAGUAGUUUCUAUCCUAGCUCUUAACCACAGGAUCCCUGUCUUUUUAUGUCACUUCAUUAUCUAAAUCUAGGAUGAGCUCCCUAGGUUUCUGAAUAAACCAGAUUCUUUCUGUUUAUUCUGUUUACCACAUCAUCUCCUUCCGUUCAAAAUUGUACUCAUAAAAGUUACCAGAACUCUGGUGGACUGGAAUCCCCCAAACAACUCCUGGAAAUUCUUC